The sequence is a transfer RNA, 72 nucleotides long. It matches the Rfam family "tRNA". Rfam says of the family: Transfer RNA (tRNA) molecules are approximately 80 nucleotides in length. Their secondary structure includes four short double-helical elements and three loops (D, anti-codon, and T loops). Further hydrogen bonds mediate the characteristic L-shaped molecular structure. tRNAs have two regions of fundamental functional importance: the anti-codon, which is responsible for specific mRNA codon recognition, and the 3' end, to which the tRNAs corresponding amino acid is attached (by aminoacyl-tRNA synthetases). tRNAs cope with the degeneracy of the genetic code in two manners: having more than one tRNA (with a specific anti-codon) for a particular amino acid; and 'wobble' base-pairing, i.e. permitting non-standard base-pairing at the 3rd anti-codon position.
UCCUGAGUAGCUCAAUGGUAGAGCAUCCGGCUGUUAACCGGACGGUUCUAAGUUCGAAUCUUAGCUCAGGAG